RNAcentral lists this ribosomal RNA (331 nucleotides) under uncultured bacterium. RNAcentral describes it as "bacterial SSU rRNA". It matches the Rfam family "Bacterial small subunit ribosomal RNA", at positions 32 to 356 of the family's 1533-position model. The record is from RNAcentral.
AAUCAACGCUGGCGGCGUGCCUCAGACAUGCAAGUCGAACGAUUAAAGCUCCCUUCGGGGAGUGUAUAGAGUGGCGCACGGGUGAGUAACACGUAAGUAAUCUACCCUCGAGUGGGGAAUAACGUCCGGAAACGGACGCUAAUACCGCAUAAUGCAGCGGCACCGCAAGGUGACAGUUGUUAAAGAUUUAUCGCUUGAGGAGGAGCUUGCGGCAGAUUAGCUAGUUGGAAGGUAAUGGCUUACCAAGGCUACGAUCUGUAACCGGUCUAAGAGGACGGUCGGUCACACUGACACUGAAUAACGGGUCAGACUCCUACGGGAGGCAGCAGUC